RNAcentral lists this unclassified non-coding RNA (426 nucleotides) under Hevea brasiliensis (rubber tree). The record is from RNAcentral. Lineage: Eukaryota; Viridiplantae; Streptophyta; Magnoliopsida; Malpighiales; Euphorbiaceae.
GCUAUGGUUUGCCUGUGCAUCAACUGCGACUUGUCAUUCUGAGAACUUUUUGGGUAUGCUCUGUCCGGUGGCCUGAGAAGUUCAAUAGAGCAAUUUAACCCAAAUCCAGAAUAAUCAUCUUUGUCAGAGAAGAGACUGGUUCUAGGAACCUUAAGAUAGAACUGUCCAUCUAAAUUGGGUGAACGUUGCCCGUUAAGCAAUAACAUCUUGGGAAAGCAGAGAGUAGGAAUAACAGUUGUUUUCAUAUUGUUCAGCAAGGAAAUUUGAGGCCACAGACCAUCUCCGACAUACCUGUACUGAAAACCUUUGCAACCACACGAACUCAAACAUAAUUUUCUGCACAUGUCCAACGUGUAACCGGGAUAGACUUUAUAGUCAUAGCCAUAAAAUUCUACCCGAGGGAGUCUAAUGAAACGAGCCUGAUCC